Molecule: non-coding RNA, 7416 nt
Organism: Salmo salar (Atlantic salmon)
Lineage: Eukaryota; Metazoa; Chordata; Actinopteri; Salmoniformes; Salmonidae
Source: RefSeq, a predicted model, not a curated record
AUGUGGUCCAGAGACUCCAUACGGAGGGCUGUGAUGCUGGAUUCCACAGAUGUGAACAUAUGGUACAAGAUUGGUCAGGUGGCUGUGCGACUGCUGCGCAUUCCAUUGGCGCGGCAUGCCUUUGAGGAGGGUCUGCAAUGUAACCCCGACCACUGGCCCUGUCUGGACAACGUCAUUACUGUUGUCUACAUACUCAGUGACUACAGCUGCUGUUUGUAUUUCAUCAGCAAAGCCCUGGAAAAGGAUCAUUGUUACACCAAAGGGCUGGUGUUGAAGGAAAAUAUCUUUGAAGAGCAGCCUUGUUUCAAGAGGGACUCCGUGCAAAUGCUACUGAAGUGUGACAUGUCCAUUCACUAUGUGGAGGAGACCCAGGCCAUUGUGGAGGAGGCAAUGGAUCUGUGACGGUGCAGACAGGCUCUCUCUGCCCAGGAACUCAGACCUGGUGCUGGUACAAACUAUCCUCUGUUUCUCGUGUUAGAAUGUGGGAGAGAGCCUCCUUGCCAUGUACAGACAUCAGACCACCUGCGAGCCGCCAUGCCCAAGCCUGGGCCGCAGGAUCAACCUGUCCCAGUACCGCAACCCCAACUGCCUCCAGGCCUUGCCUCCUGAGCCCUGCCCUCCUCCUGUCAGUGAGAUCAAGACCAUCCCCAGCAGCAGCCCCAGCAUCUCCCUGCCUCCACUCCCUGUCCCUGAGCCAUCAGCACUGUCCCAGCCCAGUCCUCUGGUUCAGAUAACACAAACUACAGCCCCCUCUGUUGGUUCUUCCGUUCCACUCAGACUGAAGAAGUUUGACCUUGAGGAUGAUGACGAGAGCCUGAGUAACCUGGAGGCCCAGUGUGAAAUCAAGCAGGACUUCCAGCUGCUCCAUGGCACAAGCUCGUCUUACCCAUUCGUCUCCCUGAAAAGCUAGCUAUUCAGCAGCGCAAAACAACAGGAUGUCCACAACUUCCUGAUCAAUAAUAUGAGCAACGGUGGGAUAUUAGAGAUGACGAUGCGCUAUCUGAAAGCGGUGGGUCAGAGGUUCAUGGAGGAGUGGCCUCGUGGGCUGACUGCAGUGGUGCAGGAGGUGUAUCAUAGUUGGAGGAAGCACAGUAGUGGCCGGCCCAACCCUCUACUCCGCAACUGCAGUAAUCAACACAAAUGGGAAAUGUCGCUGAUAAGCCUAUCAUGUAUGGAGAUUCAGUUGGAGCAGUGGUCUCACAGCAAAGGCAAGAAUGGUACGUGUCAAACACAUUGGGUGCCCAAGAAAGUGCAGUGGGGGCCAGAGCAGUGUUGGUGUGAGUUCCCAGGGCAGCACUCUGAGGGGGACCUGUUACAGCUGGGGAACCUGUUUGAGGAAAACUGGGUGGCUGUGGUGGAGCGUGUUUCCUUGCUCAAGGCAUGCUUCUUGGCCCUGCAAGGAGACCUGGACCAGGCCCUGGAGAGCUAUGAUAUGUGUGCAGGCAUGCUGCAGAGAUUCACGCACGGACCACAGAGGAGGAAAGGUACACCAUCUACCUGCCCAACCUGCGUGCAGAUGCAGCCAUCUCGGUGGAGGAGAUUGAUAAGAAGCUGGUGUCUCUGGAGCAUUGUCAGUCCCUGGCGGAGAUCCAGCGUCUGAGUCUAGGGACUAUGAGUCUGUGGUGCGGCUGCUGCAGCCCACCCUCAGUUAUGGCUCUGGGCGGGUCAAGCCUCUGGAGUUUGUCCAGCUGCUGCUGUUGCAGAACACCCUGUUGAAACUGAAGGACUACCGUCAGUGUCUGGAGUUCACCGAGGUUGCCCUGAACGAAGCCCUGCAGCAGCUCAACUCUGUCCCAGUCAGCUCUCACACGGCAAAGGAGGAGUGGUUCUCUACCAUCACAACGCUGUUGGGAGGCUUUGAGGUCUGCUUCACAGAGGACCCUCAGCUCCUGAGCAACAUCAACCACUACACCAGCAUGGUCCAGCUGGCCAACAACCUCAUCCGGGUCAACAUUCACACUAAUAUACCUGGUAGACACAGAGUGUGUUUGGAAACAGAAAAUGAUAUAUAAAUGUGUGCUGUGUCCAGCUCAGCCCUGCCCUGGAUUCUCCUGCACCACAUCAUCAAGCACGAGGAGGCUGCCUUCAACUGCCUGCUUCGCUAGCACAUAUAUUCAUAGGGGAUGAUGAAGGCACAUUACAUGACCAAAUAUUACUCUAACACCCCCAUUCUGCCCUCCUCCCUGAUGCUGCUCAACAUGGCCCAUGAGUACCUGGGCCACCGCUCCUGGUGCUGCAACUCAGAUGUUCAGGUGCUAUGUGAGUCGGUUCGUGUUCUGAAGAAAGAGCGGUCUCCCUCUAAAGUGGAGGAUACUCAUCCCUAGAAAGAGGAGAUGGAGAUGGGCUUGGAGCAGUGCUUCUACUGCCUGUAUGCUUACCCCAGCAAGAAGAUCAUGGCCCGCUAUCUAGAGGAGCACUCUGCUCAACAGGUGGAACUCAUGUUCCAGUACUUUAAGCCCAAGACUCUGCCUCAGUUUGACAGCUACAAGACGAGUACGGUGUCUGCUGACCUGGCCAAACUGCUGAAGAGGAUCUCUGGCAUUGUGUCCUACAGUGACACUCCCAUCCUCACUAUGGACGAGGUGUCAGCCUACAUCGAGGGCACGGCUGGAAUCAAAUCAAAGUUUAUUUGUCACCCAGUGGCUUGCUUUCCUGAGAGGGGCGCUCCAGCACCCCCUGUUGUCAAUGAGAUCUUCUACCUCCUGGCUGACUAGCACUUUGAGAACAAGGAGCGGUCCAAGGCCGUUAAGUUCUAUAUACAUGACAUCUGUGUCCAAACAGGUCAGGAAGAAAACAAGGCCCGCCACAUCCAGGACAAGUUAAACUCUAUUGAACUAAAGAGGGAUGGCCCCAUCCAGGACAAGCUAAACUCCAACGAAUUGAAGAGCGAUGGCCCCAUGUGGAAGCACUCCAUGGCUGUGCUCAAAUGCUUUAAGAGGGCCCUGGCUCUGUGGAUCGAGUACGGUACCAUGUCCUAUGCCCUGUACUCCUUCACCUCGCGCCAACUCAAACAGUGGAGAAACGAGCUACCCUCCGAGGUCAUCAAACCGGUGCAGUGGGCAACCAGUGGGAUAGGGAUGAGGAAGAGUGGUUCAUUCACUACCAUGCUGGGGAAGAUUGCUGAGAAACGCAAGCAGCCACCCCGGGAAUACAUCCAGCUCUACAAACAGGCAGCACAUUAUCUGCACAAGGAGGAUGCCAGAUACACUACCACAAUUCCCCUGACUUGUCUAUGGAGGCCCUGGAAUCUGAGGAACCGGACCUGGAGCAUGAUCUUCAACAUCCUGGCUGAGGUGGCCACUGGACCCUUUGCCAGGGGGGAAGAGAAGGGCAGGCCCAGGUCCAACGAAAAGGAGAUGCCCCUCUCCAUGAUGGACGAGGACUCCCACUGCUCUGUGUCAGCUGUGUGCGAUGGAUGUUCAUGGGGCCUCCCUCCCCUCCAACGCCGCAGGUCUGACGUCCCCACCUUACACGACCACGGUUACACCAAACUUAACAGCCUCCGGCAGCAGCAGACCAAACGUAACAGCCUCCGGCAGCAACAGACGAGGAAACAGUAUGAGGAGGAGCUGCAGACUGAUGAGCGCAGUCAGGACAGCGUGGUGGUGACACUGUCGGACUCCAACCCCAACCAGGAUGCCUUCACAGACCCCCGCCAGCUCCCAGGACAGCCACCCCCCCAGACUCCUACAAGCGAUUGGAGGAGCCGCUACCCUAGGUGGCCAGAUCCCCCUCCAGAGAUGGUCGAGGUGCCCAAGGCCCUCCCUACUGAGCAUUGCAGCAUGCUGGUGGACAUGUGUGUCUAGUGUCUUCCUCUGCCUGAGCUGCUUCCCUCAGCAUGACAAGAGCCUCUACCGUCUGGCCUUCUACAUCAACAGCAAGACCCAACAGAAUCUGCGGUGGCCACAUGAUGUGUUGCUAGGAAGCAGUGUCCCAUGGCAACAGCUGAAGCAUAUGCCAGCACGAGGACUUUUCUAUGAGGGGAACAAGACAAAUCUGUUCAAUGGCAUCUGGCAUAUUCCAGUGGAUGAGAUUGAUCGCCCUGGCAGUUUUGCAUCUCAUAUGAACCGAUCCAUCGUCCUCUUGCUGGAGGUGCUGUCUCAGCUGAAGGACCACGACACACUGAUCAAAGUCUCUUUCAUGCUCCAGAGAACCCCUGACCAGGGAAAGAAGUAUUUGCGGGAUGUGGAUCAUCAGGUUUUGGCCCAGAGAGCAUUUUUCCUAGCUGUAAAAGUCCUGGAGGACAAUCUGAACAAACUCACAGGGCCUUCCAAAGUGCCUGUGCCCUCCAUGGGGGAAAUGACAACCACGGACACGUCCAACAGGCCCAGUGCAGAGGACAGCAGUCAUGCACUGCAUAAGAAGCCUGAGCUCGCUGAGGGACCCCAGGUCACUGCCCCAGGCCCUGACUCUGGGUCCCGGGAGACCCCUCAGACACAGCCAGCCCUGCUGGCCACAGACAGAAACAGGGGGGAUCAGCAGCAGAGAACUCCAUCUGGGAAGGUGGAGGCUGCUGUGGGAAAGGGGGCCAGAGCAGUGCCGGAGGAGCCCAUGGAGCUGGAUGCUGGCCACUCGGGGCAUCCCUCCAAGACCACAGACUCUCGGUGCAUCCAACCAGACACGGAGUCCCCCAGAACUGUCCUGGUGCCUGGGGAGAAAGUGGCUGAGAGCAGCCGCGCACCGGAGCUUUCUCUGGAGGACCUGAGCAUCAGCUCCAGACAGCAGCAGCUCCAGUGCCCGGUAGCUAAGGGCCCAGUGUUAGCCAGCGGAGCAGAGCAGGGACUAGCCCAGGGGGCGCUAUGCAGGCCCAGCAGGAAGAGGAAGCUCCUGGAUGACGUGGAGUCAGGCGAAACUCUUCUGCUGGAUGCCUACCGGGUGUGGCAGCAGGGCCAGAAGGUCAUGACCUACGACCUGGGGCGCAUUGAGAAGAUCAUGUCAGAGACGUACAUGCUCAUCAAGCAGGUGGAUGAGGACGUGGCGCUGGAUCAAGCCGUGAAGUUCUGCCAGAUACAGAUGGCCACGUCAGCACAACGACAGUCUGCCAGUGAUGCCCCGACAACACCCAAGUACACUAAGGAUAACCGCGACAUCUUCUUCCCUGCCUCUCUGCCAACCCCGGUCUUGCUCAGCCACACUGCCUGCCACCCUCUGUCCAUCCAGAUCCAGGACAGCCAAGCCAAACUACAGUACGAGCCCCUGGGCAAGGUGCCCAGACCUCCAGGCAGCGGCUCCCACGAGCAGCCCCAGCACAGGAGAGCCCCCCUGCCCAUCCACCCUGCUUCAACUAUGGCCUUCAACCCCCAAACAGAUGAACUUGAGGAGCCCGCAGAGGGACUGUCCUACAGACAGCAGGAGUCUCAUCUGUGCCAACAGAUGAAGCUGGCCACUGUGUCCCCAGGGCAGGAGGCUGCAGGCUGGCACCUUGACGAGCAUGCUUCCUGUAGUACCACACAACCCUGCUCAGACCAGCAGCUGUAUGGCAGCAGUGAGCAGUCUAAGAUGUCGGACCCCAGUCGUGUCCGCUCCCGCAUCCCCCCCAACAUGCCAAAGCUCUUCAUCCCCUCCACUGUCACCAAGUUCCCCCCGGAAAUUACCGUCACCCCGCCUACACCCACCCUACUCUCCCCCAAAGGAAGUAUCUCAGAGGAAACCAAGCAGAGACUCAAGAACGUGAUCCUGUCCUCCCAGUCGGCGGCCACAGUGAAGAAGGAGACGCUGAGCCAGCCAGCCCUGGAGGUGCAGGAGACCUCCAGCCAGGAGUCCUCUCUGGAGAGUGAAUCAGACGAUGGGGAUGAGGAGGAUGAUUACAUGGACAUCUGAGCUACUGACCCUUCUCACAGCUACAAGAGUGAACAAACCCAGGCUGCUCAUUUGAGCUAGACCUGACUUCCACCAACCCUUCCACCUUGUCUUGAAACAAUGGAAUGGUACAUGUCACUGCAGCUAGUGUCUCUGUGUUGGUGCAGUUGGUCUAUCUUGUAUUGAAUGGGAAAAAGCUCUAGAAAGUCACACUGUGGAUGACUGGGGAUGUUUUUAGUUAAACAACAAUUUAGCAAAGUGCCAUUUUACACUCAUCACACCUGCCAGGUAGCCAAGGUCUCCAUAGUCUUUCACAUGAAAAUGGGAAAGGGUGUAGAAUGAUGAUCAACACUUACUGUAAGUUAAAUGGUCAGAAUUUGUGGAUUGUUGCAAUGCAAUUGGCAUCCUUGGCUGUGAUUUAUGCAUCUUUCACAAGUAAUGGGGACAAAAAUUCAGCCUGCUUUUACUAUAUUUCAACUGCAGCUACAUCCUUGUUGGUGGGAUUCAACAUCCCACACUGAGGUACUUCAACAUGAUAUGUGCCAUGGCAACAUAUGACUGUUGCCAGCCAACUUUUGUCCAUACACAUUGAUAUAAGAACCUAAACUGCAAGAAACCCACAUUUGUAUGUGACCUGUAUUUUCAUGGACACUAUGAUUUACUGAGGACCAUCAGCUGCAAACCAGGCUUUUAUAUGGGCCUCCUAACGCAAUGUUGAGGAACCUACUUCACCAAAGCUUAAUAACCUGUAGCAGAUUGGAUAUGUUUGCACUUCCCAGUGGGAUGUCUUUGAUUUGUCUUUUGUUUGUUCUAUUUUUGUACUUCACUGGAUUAUUUCAAGUCUUGUUUGAUUUUGUCCUUUGUUUCUGUGUGGAUUUGUAGCUUGGAGGAGUCUUUACCAGGAAGAGGUCUUGUCACCAGCAUUGCUCAGGAUAAUAGACAGAGAGAUGUUUUGGAUUAGCCUGAAUUAGCUUUUGUACAUCACACUUAAAACAUAUUUUCCAAUGAGGCAACUCUUAUUGGGUUCGGGUGUUUAUUUAGCAUUGGGGUCAAGUACAUCUCAAUUCUAGUCAAUUUAGGAAACAAAUUCAAUUUAACUUAAUCAGUUGUGCGUCAGUUUAUUUUCUGAAUUCACUGGCAUUGUAAGGGAAGGUGUGGAUGUUCCUAAUUCAGAUAAAAUGCCUUCCCGAUGGAUCAGUUUUGGUAAAUAGGUUUAAAUUCAAAGUAAACUCGGAAAGGGGAUAGUUAGUCAGUUGUACAGAAUACAAUAUGUUUUUUACAGAUUGUUUUCUAUAAAAAGAAGGAUAUGUAGUGUAUGUUUAUUGUCAAAAACACGACUUUUUAAAAAAGGAAGAAAUUAUUCAUUAAUAAUUGUAAAGGACAUUGCCCAAACAAGUCUUGCUUGACUACCUGUAAAUGGAUGUUUGUAUUUUUUGAUGUAUAAUACUGUUUUGUAUUUCUACUGCUGAGCUUCUUAUGGGAAUAUGUAAUGGCUAAAAGGUGACUUUGGGUUCAAGGCUUUUCUUCUGCUCUUCAACCUUAGCUCAGGCUGGGGAGUUGUUGUUCUCUACAUAUUGACUUGCCACAUUAAAGAUGUCACAACAAAAAUAUACUUGA